GCCUCCGCGGUCGCCGCCGCGUGCGCCGCCUCUUUCGCUUUGAGCAUCUUCCAGUUAUCCGCCGCGUGGGAUUUCAAAGCCUGAGCCUCCUCUUCCAGCGCGUCGCAUCGCCUCCGAAGCCCCUCGGCCAUCUCGCGCGCCUCCGCGAGGUCCUCCCCCGCCGCUCUCGCCGCGGACGACGCAGCCUCUAACGCUGCGCGCGAGUCCUCCGCUUUCGCCGCGACCGCCGCGGCCUCCACCGCGCUCGCGAGCUGCUUCCGGAGGUGGAGUUGAAAGGCGUCAGAAGCGGAGUUGAAAGGCGUCGAGGCGUGUCGGAAUUGAAACCGUGUUGUGGGCGGAGAGACACGCCGGGAGAGAAAGUCCUUAAGAAACGGCGUUCACCACGCGAACGCGAUCGUAUGGGGACCAGUGUGAAGGAGAACGCGCCUGCUUCCGGAGGUCCGCGAUGGUCGACUCGGAAGCCGCGCGCGCGUUUUGUUUCGCGAGCAACAGCCGCCAGCGUUCCGCGGCGAGCGCUUUCGACUUGGCCUCCGCGUCCGCGCUCGCCGCCGCGAGCGCCUUGGCGCCCGCGGCUUCUUUCUCCAGCGCCGCGUUCAGGUCCUCGAGCUGCGCCAGCCUCUCGUCCGCCGCCGCCAGCGCGCGUUCGCGUUCGAUCUCUUUCGCCUCGUCGUCCGCGGAGGGCGCGGUUUUCGUCGCCGUCGUCGCCGUCGCGAGUCGCUCCCUUAACUCCGCAAUCUCCGCCACC
This 745-nucleotide long non-coding RNA is filed under the name Micromonas pusilla. RNAcentral describes it as "long non-coding RNA (MPUS_LNC000095)". Lineage: Eukaryota; Viridiplantae; Chlorophyta; Mamiellophyceae; Mamiellales; Mamiellaceae. The record is from RNAcentral.